RNAcentral lists this ribosomal RNA (228 nucleotides) under uncultured bacterium. Its description in RNAcentral is "partial 16S ribosomal RNA". It matches the Rfam family "Bacterial small subunit ribosomal RNA", at positions 108 to 339 of the family's 1533-position model. The record is from RNAcentral.
GAGUAACGCGUGAGAAUCUACCCUAAAGUGGAGAAUACCUUCGAGAAAUCGAAGUUAAUACUGCAUACGUCCCUUCGGGGAGAAAGAUGGCUUAUUUUAGCUGUCGCUUAAGGAUGAGCUUGCGUGCUAUUAGCUAGUUGGUAGGGUAAUGGCCUACCAAGGCGAUGAUGGCUAGUCGGCCUGAGAGGGUGUACGACCACACUGGAACUUAGACACGGUCCAGACUCC